UAAAGAUUCAUCGCUGAUAGAUAGGCAUGCGUUCCAUUAGGCAGUUGGCGGGGUAACGGCCCACCAAACCGACGAUGGAUAGGGGUUCUGAGAGGAAGGUCCCCCACAUUGGUACUGAGACACGGACCAAACUCCUACGGGAGGCAGCAGUGAGGAAUAUUGGUCAAUGGGCGUAAGCCUGAACCAGCCAAGUCGCGUGAGGGAUGAAGGUUCUAUGGAUCGUAAACCUCUUUUAUAAGGGAAUAAAGUGUGGGACGUGUCCUGUUUUGUAUGUACCUUAUGAAUAAGGAUCGGCUAACUCCGUGCCAGCAGCCGCGGUAAUACGGAGGAUCCGAGCGUUAUCCGGAUUUAUUGGGUUUAAAGGGUGCGUAGGCGGCCUUUUAAGUCAGCGGUGAAAGUCUGUGGCUCAACCAUAGAAUUGCCGUUGAAACUGGGAGGCUUGAGUAUGUUUGAGGCAGGCGGAAUGCGUGGUGUAGCGGUGAAAUGCUUAGAUAUCACGCAGAGCCCCGAUUGCGAAGGCAGCCUGCCAAGCCAUGACUGACGCUGAUGCACGAAAGCGUGGGGAUCAAACAGGAUUAGAUACCCUGGUAGUCCACGCAGUAAACGAUGAUCACUAGCUGUUUGCGAUACAGUGUAA
Molecule: ribosomal RNA, 637 nt
Filed under: uncultured bacterium
Lineage: Bacteria
Description: bacterial SSU rRNA
Rfam family: Bacterial small subunit ribosomal RNA
Source: RNAcentral